Molecule: ribosomal RNA, 189 nt
Filed under: uncultured bacterium
Lineage: Bacteria
Description: partial 16S ribosomal RNA
Rfam family: Bacterial small subunit ribosomal RNA
Source: RNAcentral
CUCCUACGGGAGGCAGCAGUGAGGAAUAUUGCUCAAUGGACGAAAGUCUGAAGCAGCAACGCCGCGUGAGGGAUGGAGGUGCUCUGCAUCGUAAACCUCUGUAGAGGGAGACAAACUUCGAGUUACUACUCGAUUGAUGGUACCCUAAGUAAGGAUCGGCUAACUACGUGUCAGCAGCCGCGGUAAUUC